CCACCUUUUUUUUAAUUAAGAAUCGUAUGAGGUGGAAACUUGAGAAGAGAAACAAUCGAAACUGCUAAGUGAUUUUUUUUAUUGGGAAAUUUUCGCUAGGCUUUCAGUUCAUCUGAUGCGAAAAUCAGAUUUUGACUUUGAAGAUAACGAAGGAUUUUUCAAUUAGGUAUUCUAUCUAAUGACAGUUUAUAGUUGGUGAUCUAUUUGAGUUCUUGUUCCUUUUCUUCUCUUUUAUCUGUGUUUAUUUUUUCAUCCAUUGACUUUAAAAAAAUGUGUGUAUUUGGAUGACAGGGAAGGCCUACUGCUGUGGUACUCAUCAGCGAUCUAUUUCUCGACAAAGAAAACUCAUAAACCCCAAAAAUACAAAAACCCCAAACCCAAAAAAAGAGAGCUUAAAAUCCACCAUGGAAAUGCUUAACUGCUAAAGCAAAAGGUCCUCUCAUAAAAUCUCCUCUUUUAUUUUGUUCUUUCGAAUGCUCCUUUUAAACGUGGCGUUGCUUUAAUUUAUGGGAUCAUUUUCGAUUCGUUCAACUUGCUUUUAGUUGAACCAGUAUAGGAUGAUGGCGUAUUAUUAUUCCAAGCUUUUUUACUCGUUCCUAGCUUCAGCUUUGAUAAUAUUUUCUCUUCAAAUUUAUGGGUUUUUUUUAAUGGUCUGUGGAUCAAGAUCCGGUAAUAGUUGAUAGUAUUUUAGUUUUUUUCCUCCUUUUUGAUUGAAGAAAUUUGGGAACUUAAGCUUAUGGUUUACAUUUUUCUUAUUUUCUAUUUUCACUUCAAUCUAAAAACUGAAACUUUAUUUUUAAAAACCAUUAUUUUUUUUUAUCUUUUCAUAGUUUCAUUUUUGUUUUUAAGCGUUUAGCUAAGUAACUUCUAUAUGAGAAAUGGUUGAUUCCUUAACUUAUUUUUUUGGGCAAAGGAUUUGAGUUCCUUGAUCUUGGAAUAAUAAUUAGCAUAUAAUAUCAGCUCCAUCUCUUUCAAUGGCAAUAAAACUUCAUUUGUUUUUCUUUAUAUGUCUAUGUUUCUAGUUUUGCUGGAUUUGCCAUGUCAAACAGUUUUUCUUUUUCUUUUUGUGUGUGUGUAUGUAUAUGUAUUCUCUUUAGCUUUGAAGGAUGGACCUAAUAAUUGUAUAAAGGGACACUCUAAACUCGAUUACUACUGUUUUUUUUAGAUUAGAGUGAAUUAGAUAUUAAAGACGGGUUUGCUAACGAGUCCCCUUAAUAAACUCUUUAAACUUAGUUAAUAUUCUAUUUAUGGUCAUAACAUUGUAUUGAAUGUAGUAGUUGAUAACUUAUCAUUUCCAAUGCAUUGUAUGAAUGUCAGUAGGGCACUUGUUAGCACAAUCUGUUAAAGAUUUCAAUAAGACCUUUGUUUAUUUCUUAAGUGUGUUAGUUCUUACUUCUAUACUAGUGUUUUUCCUUUUCUUUUUCCAAUCAAAAAAACAUGUAAUAAUCUCAAACCAACAUUGAAGUUUCCCAAAUGACCUAGAUUGACCCAACAUGCAUAUAUACUGCCAAGUCAGUUGGCAGAUCAGGUAUAGUAUUACCCUUCUAUUCAAAAAUAAAAAUAACAAAAGAGCAGAACACCUUUCUUAAAAGUUAAUUAACUUUGCUUUCAAGCUCUUCGAGUGCAGCAUUUAGCUCUGACGAUAAGCCAAUUAAUUCUGGAGCAAAACUGACAAGCAAAACUAUUGACUUUAAGCUAUGGGGUAAGACUAAGAAAAACCAAGCAAUCAACCCUCAAACCCAUCCAAAAAAGAAGAGUGAAUAUCUUAUGCAUGUAAUAACACUUGUUAGUUUUAUAUACAUUUUGAUAUAUAUAUACACAUAUAUGUAUGUGAGAUUGUACUAUGUCCUUUUAAGGAUUAUCUAGAUGUAUUGGAAAUGAGCAAAAAAUUGGAUUAGGUUCAUUGUUUGAGUGCAGCAUUCUUAUCCCUGGAAUUAUUUUACUGUCAGCUACAAUUUUUGUUGGAAGAGUUUUUCUAAAGUGAAAGUGUUUGUUUGGCCCUGUUGUAGUCUUCAUUUUGCCUUUGGUUUUUUGUUAAGUUUAUUUUUAUUUGGAUAUUUUUAGUUGGAACCAUUAUGUGUUAAAGGUGUAUUGGUAUACUAUUAUUUCAACAAGCGGCAUGUGGUUUAAUAAUAUUCUAUUUUCUUUGGCAGAAUUGACUUCAAGAUAAGGACCAUAGAGCUUGAUAGAAAAAGGAUAUAGUUGCAAAUACUACUGGUCAAGUGAGGUUUCAUACAAUUACAACUG
This 2247-nucleotide long non-coding RNA is filed under the name Gossypium barbadense (sea-island cotton). RNAcentral's name for it is "long non-coding RNA (GBAR_LNC012603)". The record is from RNAcentral. Lineage: Eukaryota; Viridiplantae; Streptophyta; Magnoliopsida; Malvales; Malvaceae.